CUCAGGAUGAACGCUAGCGGCAGGCUUAACACAUGCAAGUCGAGGGGUAUGCUUCUUCGGGAGCAGAGACCGGCGCACGGGUGCGUAACGCGUAUGCAAUCUACCUUUUACAGAGGGAUAGCCCAGAGAAAUUUGGAUUAAUACCUCAUAGUAUAUAGACUCGGCAUCGAGAUUAUAUUAAAGUCACAACGGUAAAAGAUGAGCAUGCGUCCCAUUAGCUAGUUGGUAAGGUAACGGCUUACCAAGGCUACGAUGGGUAGGGGUCCUGAGAGGGAGAUCCCCCACACUGGUACUGAGACACGGACCAGACUCCUACGGGAGGCAGCAGUGAGGAAUAUUGGACAAUGGGCGCAAGCCUGAUCCAGCCAUGCCGCGUGCAGGAUGACGGUCCUAUGGAUUGUAAACUGCUUUUGUACAGGAAGAAACA
This 427-nucleotide ribosomal RNA is filed under the name Flavobacteriaceae bacterium JJ-370. RNAcentral's name for it is "bacterial SSU rRNA". It matches the Rfam family "Bacterial small subunit ribosomal RNA", at positions 23 to 452 of the family's 1533-position model. Lineage: Bacteria; Pseudomonadati; Bacteroidota; Flavobacteriia; Flavobacteriales; Flavobacteriaceae. The record is from RNAcentral.